ACUCCCUCCGUCCCUGAAUAAGUGACCUAUUUGACCAUUUCACACAGAUUAAGAAAAGUGUAAAGAUGAAAGAAAGAGAGUGAUACUUUUACUGAGUUGCCCUUGUCAUUAUUUUGAAACUUUUUCACUUUUAAGUAAUGAUUACUUUCUUUGUUCCACUACAAACUUUAACAUGGGGACCACAAAAAGUAUUUAUAAGGGGUAAAUCUGUCAAAUUUUGCUUAGAAAUCUGAGAAGGUCAAGUAUUGUGGGACAAAUAUUUUUUAC
RNAcentral lists this long non-coding RNA (267 nucleotides) under Medicago truncatula (barrel medic). RNAcentral's name for it is "long non-coding RNA (MTRU_LNC003726)". Lineage: Eukaryota; Viridiplantae; Streptophyta; Magnoliopsida; Fabales; Fabaceae. The record is from RNAcentral.